Molecule: unclassified non-coding RNA, 807 nt
Filed under: Hevea brasiliensis (rubber tree)
Lineage: Eukaryota; Viridiplantae; Streptophyta; Magnoliopsida; Malpighiales; Euphorbiaceae
Source: RNAcentral
GCACAAAUUAGAGAGCAUUCAGGUAUGAGCUGUGAAGUUCUGUUACUUGCCAAUGCAUGUGUGUGCAUCUAGUGAGAGUUAGUUUGUCAGUAAAUGAGUGAACUCAUCUGAUGCACAUAUGUUAUAUUGCAUUAGUUGGAAAGUUUAGAUCCAGCAUAUUUUUUUCAACUAUAAGACUAAUUUUCAAAAACUGACUAUAACAACAAUUGUUAUUAAAUGGUGCAACAUUUCAAGAUUAUUUUUUGUAAUUUUUUAUCAUAACUUCUUAUUACUUCUUGUUUACACUUGAAGUUUCUUCCUUGCUUUGUCUUUACCUGUGUUUUUCAGGUGCCUGUGGAUAUUGCUCCCUCAUUUUCCUUCGCCGAUGAAAUUUUGGAGUAAAGGCAGUGUGUUGGCAUCAGGCUUACAUGUGCCGUUUGUCUUGCAAACUCAGAUCAAAUGAAUGAGAGUAAUUGAAUUUAAAGAAAUGUCAAUAUUGGGAUAAUGCUAUAUGGUAGCAGCAUCUUCAAUGCUUCUGGAAAUAAAUCCAGCAUGGUUGGUUUCUAUCAUUAUCUAAAUCUGAGAAUGUCAUUUGUUUUCCCCAUUGAGUAAAACACACUGCAAAGUGCAAAGAAAAGAAGCUGCUUUCCUCUCGCUUCUCCUUGCUGUUGCAGCAAUGGUUUUGCCUUUCAAGUGUGUGCACAGAGCACAAUUGUGAAGCUAAAUCGGUACUUAGCAUGCGUACGAAUUGAGAGAGAUAUGGGGACUUGAGUAAAAAGGAUGAAAAUUUCCUACGAUUUUUAAUGAAAUUAAUCUGAUGAUUUCGAG